Molecule: ribosomal RNA, 429 nt
Filed under: Chloroflexota bacterium
Lineage: Bacteria; Bacillati; Chloroflexota
Description: Chloroflexi bacterium partial 16S ribosomal RNA
Rfam family: Bacterial small subunit ribosomal RNA
Source: RNAcentral
UGGGGAAUAUUGCACAAUGGGCGCAAGCUUGAUGCAGCCAUGCCGCGUGUAUGAAGAAGGCCUUCGGGUUGUAAAGUACUUUCAGUCGGGAGGAAGGUGGUAAGGUUAAUAACCUUAUCAAUUGACGUUACCGACAGAAGAAGCACCGGCUAACUCCGUGCCAGCAGCCGCGGUAAUACGGAGGGUGCAAGCGUUAAUCGGAAUUACUGGGCGUAAAGCGCACGCAGGCGGUUGAUUGAGUCAGAUGUGAAAUCCCCGGGCUUAACCCGGGAAUUGCAUCUGAUACUGGUCAGCUAGAGUCUUGUAGAGGGGGGUAGAAUUCCAUGUGUAGCGGUGAAAUGCGUAGAGAUGUGGAGGAAUACCGGUGGCGAAGGCGGCCCCCUGGACAAAGACUGACGCUCAGGUGCGAAAGCGUGGGGAGCAAACAGG